RNAcentral lists this ribosomal RNA (253 nucleotides) under uncultured bacterium. RNAcentral describes it as "partial 16S ribosomal RNA". It matches the Rfam family "Bacterial small subunit ribosomal RNA", at positions 524 to 776 of the family's 1533-position model. The record is from RNAcentral.
UACGAAGGGGGCUAGCGUUGUUCGGAAUCACUGGGCGUAAAGGGCGCGUAGGCGGCUUUAUAAGUCGGGGGUGAAAGCCCGUGGCUCAACCACAGAAUUGCCUUCGAUACUGUAGAGCUUGAGACCGGAAGAGGUAAGUGGAACUGCGAGUGUAGAGGUGAAAUUCGUAGAUAUUCGCAAGAACACCAGUGGCGAAGGCGGCUUACUGGUCCGGUUCUGACGCUGAGGCGCGAAAGCGUGGGGAGCAAACAGG